RNAcentral lists this ribosomal RNA (533 nucleotides) under Amapeza hyaloptera. RNAcentral describes it as "partial 16S ribosomal RNA". The stretch from base 89 to 455 matches the Rfam family "Bacterial large subunit ribosomal RNA", at positions 2072 to 2648 of the family's 2925-position model. The record is from RNAcentral. Lineage: Eukaryota; Metazoa; Arthropoda; Insecta; Diptera; Micropezidae.
UGCUGGAAUGAAUGGUUGGACGAAAUAUAAACUGUUUCAAUUUUAUUUAGAAUAGAAUUUUAUUUUUUAGUAAAAAAGCUAAAAUUUAAUUAAAAGACGAGAAGACCCUAUAAAUCUUUAUAAUUAAAUUAUUUCUAUUGUGAGGAUGAUUUUUGUAUUAAUAGUUUUAAUUAUUUUAUUGGGGUGAUAUUAAAAUUUAAUAAACUUUUAAUUUUUUAUAACAUUGAUUUAUGAAUAAUUGAUCCGUAAAUUGCGAUUAUAAGAUUAAGUUACUUUAGGGAUAACAGCGUAAUUUUUUUGGAGAGUUCAUAUCGAUAAAAAAGAUUGCGACCUCGAUGUUGGAUUAAGAUAUAAUUUUGGGUGCAGCAAUUCAAAUUUUAAGUCUGUUCGACUUUUAAAUUCUUACAUGAUCUGAGUUCAAACCGGCGUGAGCCAGGUUGGUUUCUAUCUUUAAUUACUUAAGAUAUUUUAGUACGAAAGGAUUAAAUAUCUGAAUAAUUAUUUUAUUUAUUGAAUAUCAUUAAUACUAUUUU